This 301-nucleotide ribosomal RNA is filed under the name uncultured bacterium. Its description in RNAcentral is "bacterial SSU rRNA". It matches the Rfam family "Bacterial small subunit ribosomal RNA", at positions 28 to 312 of the family's 1533-position model. The record is from RNAcentral.
GACGAACGUUGGCGGUGCGCUUUAUACAUGCAAGUCGUGCGCGAAAGGCCCCUUCGGGGGCCGAGUAGAGCGGCGGACGGGUGCGUAACACGUGAGCAACCUGCCCUGGAGUGGGGAAUAACUCCGAGAAAUCGGGGCUAAUGCCGCAUGAUGUCGCAGCUCCGCAUGAAGCUGCGCUUAAAGUCGGCCUCUGCUUGCAAGCUGGCGCUCCAGGAUGGGCUCGCGGCCUAUUAGCUAGUUGGCGGGGUAAUGGCCCACCAAGGCUACGAUGGGUAGGGGGCGUGAGAGCGUGGCCCCCACA